This is a long non-coding RNA of Neoarius graeffei (lesser salmon catfish), 436 nucleotides long. RefSeq lists it as uncharacterized. The record is from RefSeq and is a predicted model, not a curated record. NCBI's taxonomy places the organism in Eukaryota, Metazoa, Chordata, Actinopteri, Siluriformes, Ariidae. The transcript is spliced from 3 exons.
CGGAGCACACCUUUCCUCACAUUUACGGUCCCCGCCGCUACCACACCCAUCUCCCGCUCUGUGCACACCGCGGCGGACACGGACAGAGACCGAGGGGACUCGUGGCCGUGGAAGGAAAGCGUGAUGAAAACUAAAUGCAGUGCACCCAGGUUAAGGGCACAUAUCACCCAAGGAAGCAUCACAAUCGGUGCUUAUCCAGGCACAUGGAAUCUGUAAAAUUCCAAACACAGAACAACAACCUUUACCUCCAUCUUUGCAGCCUGAUGCACAAAGGGGACAACCCAGCCAUUUGCCCCUGGCCCCAGCAAGGCAAACUCCUUCACAGCUACAAACUGUAAGUAAUCGGCCCCGUGCACCAUCACGCCCUGCACAGUUCUCCCAACCAAGGCCGCGCCUUCAACCUGCCGCCUCAGCAGAUGGUGCGCCAUUAGGGCCU